RNAcentral lists this ribosomal RNA (301 nucleotides) under uncultured bacterium. Its description in RNAcentral is "partial 16S ribosomal RNA". It matches the Rfam family "Bacterial small subunit ribosomal RNA", at positions 509 to 808 of the family's 1533-position model. The record is from RNAcentral.
CAGUAGCCACGGGAACACGGAGGGCGCGAGCGUUACCCGGAUUUACUGGGCGUAAAGGGCGUGUAGGCGGCCUGGGGCGUCCCAUGUGAAAGGCCACGGCUCAACCGUGGAGGAGCGUGGGAUACGCUCAGGCUAGAGGGGGGAGAGGGUGGUGGAAUUCCCGGAGUAGCGGUGAAAUGCGCAGAUACCGGGAGGAACGCCGAUGGCGAAGGCAGCCACCUGGUCCACUUCUGACGCUGAGGCGCGAAAGCGUGGGGAGCAAACCGGAUUAGAUACCCGCGUAGUCCCUGUCUCUUAUACA